This 497-nucleotide ribosomal RNA is filed under the name uncultured bacterium. RNAcentral's name for it is "partial 16S ribosomal RNA". It matches the Rfam family "Bacterial small subunit ribosomal RNA", at positions 28 to 507 of the family's 1533-position model. The record is from RNAcentral.
GAUGAACGCUGGCGGCGUGCCUAACACAUGCAAGUCGAGCGAACAGACGAGGAGCUUGCUCCGCUGACGUUAGCGGCGGACGGGUGAGUAACACGUGGAUAACCUACCUAUAAGACUGGGAUAACUUCGGGAAACCGGCGCUAAUACCGGAUGAUAUAUUGAACCGCAUGGUUCAAUAGAGAUAGCCGGUUUUGCUGUCACUUAUAGAUGGAUCCGCGCCGCAUUAGCUAGUUGGUAAGGUAACGGCUUACGAAGGCAACGAUGCGUAGCCGACCUGAGAGGGUGAUCAGCCGCACUGGAAGUGAGACACGGUCCAGACUCCUACGGGAGGGAGCAGUAGGGAAUCGUGCGCAAUGGGCGGAAACCUGACGGAACAAGGCGGCGUCAGUGAUGAGGAUCUUCGGGUCGGAAAACACGGUUAUUAGGGAAGAACAAGUGUGUACGUAGCGAUGCAGGUCUUGACGGGACCUGAGCAGGAAGCCACGGCUAACUACGUG